CAUCUUUGCGAUAGACUCGACAUGGUCAAAAUGAUUGAUGGAACACUAGAUAUUUUAUUACGUAAACCGUGCGGCCAUCUUCGUGAUAGGCACGACAUGGUCGAAAGGAUUAAUCGAGCGGUCAUCUUCGUGAUAUGCUCGACACGAUUAAACUCCACGUACUUGAACAAAAUAUGACAAAAAAAAUAUAAUAAUAAGAAUGAUAAUAAAAAAAAUAAACGGGUUCUGUUUUGAUUCGUCAACUUCGUUCGAUUCGAUCGUAUUACUCGACAUGAUCAAUUUCGUAUAUUUCCUUUUUUUAAAAAAAAAAUAAACGAAAUUUUAUAUAU
This 329-nucleotide long non-coding RNA is filed under the name Ananas comosus (pineapple). RNAcentral describes it as "long non-coding RNA (ACOM_LNC005192)". Lineage: Eukaryota; Viridiplantae; Streptophyta; Magnoliopsida; Poales; Bromeliaceae. The record is from RNAcentral.